CACACUAUCAUUAACUGAAUCCAUAGGUUAAUGAGGCGAACCGGGGGAACUGAAACAUCUAAGUACCCCGAGGAAAAGAAAUCAACCGAGAUUCCCCCAGUAGCGGCGAGCGAACGGGGAGCAGCCCAGAGCCUGAAUCAGUGUGUGUGUUAGUGGAAGCGUCUGGAAAGGCGCGCGAUACAGGGUGACAGCCCCGUACACAAAAAUGCACAUGCUGUGAGCUCGAUGAGUAGGGCGGGACACGUGGUAUCCUGUCUGAAUAUGGGGGGACCAUCCUCCAAGGCUAAAUACUCCUGACUGACCGAUAGUGAACCAGUACCGUGAGGGAAAGGCGAAAAGAACCCCGGCGAGGGGAGUGAAAAAGAACCUGAAACCGUGUACGUACAAGCAGUGGGAGCCUCUUUAUGGGGUGACUGCGUACCUUUUGUAUAAUGGGUCAGCGACUUAUAUUCUGUAGCAAGGUUAACCGAAUAGGGGAGCCGAAGGGAAACCGAGUCUUAACUGGGCGUUAAGUUGCAGGGUAUAGACCCGAAACCCGGUGAUCUAGCCAUGGGCAGGUUGAAGGUUGGGUAACACUAACUGGAGGACCGAACCGACUAAUGUUGAAAAAUUAGCGGAUGACUUGUGGCUGGGGGUGAAAGGCCAAUCAAACCGGGAGAUAGCUGGUUCUCCCCGAAAGCUAUUUAGGUAGCGCCUCGUGAAUUCAUCUCCGGGGGUAGAGCACUGUUUCGGCAAGGGGGUCAUCCCGACUUACCAACCCGAUGCAAACUGCGAAUACCGGAGAAUGUUAUCACGGGAGACACACGGCGGGUGCUAACGUCCGUCGUGAAGAGGGAAACAACCCAGACCGCCAGCUAAGGUCCCAAAGUCAUGGUUAAGUGGGAAACGAUGUGGGAAGGCCCAGACAGCCAGGAUGUUGGCUUAGAAGCAGCCAUCAUUUAAAGAAAGCGUAAUAGCUCACUGGUCGAGUCGGCCUGCGCGGAAGAUGUAACGGGGCUAAACCAUGCACCGAAGCUGCGGCAGCGACGCUUAUGCGUUGUUGGGUAGGGGAGCGUUCUGUAAGCCUGUGAAGGUGUGCUGUGAGGCAUGCUGGAGGUAUCAGAAGUGCGAAUGCUGACAUAAGUAACGAUAAAGCGGGUGAAAAGCCCGCUCGCCGGAAGACCAAGGGUUCCUGUCCAACGUUAAUCGGGGCAGGGUGAGUCGACCCCUAAGGCGAGGCCGAAAGGCGUAGUCGAUGGGAAACAGGUUAAUAUUCCUGUACUUGGUGUUACUGCGAAGGGGGGACGGAGAAGGCUAUGUUGGCCGGGCGACGGUUGUCCCGGUUUAAGCGUGUAGGCUGGUUUUCCAGGCAAAUCCGGAAAAUCAAGGCUGAGGCGUGAUGACGAGGCACUACGGUGCUGAAGCAACAAAUGCCCUGCUUCCAGGAAAAGCCUCUAAGCAUCAGGUAACAUCAAAUCGUACCCCAAACCGACACAGGUGGUCAGGUAGAGAAUACCAAGGCGCUUGAGAGAACUCGGGUGAAGGAACUAGGCAAAAUGGUGCCGUAACUUCGGGAGAAGGCACGCUGAUAUGUAGGUGAGGUCCCUCGCGGAUGGAGCUGAAAUCAGUCGAAGAUACCAGCUGGCUGCAACUGUUUAUUAAAAACACAGCACUGUGCAAACACGAAAGUGGACGUAUACGGUGUGACGCCUGCCCGGUGCCGGAAGGUUAAUUGAUGGGGUUAGCGGUAACGCGAAGCUCUUGAUCGAAGCCCCGGUAAACGGCGGCCGUAACUAUAACGGUCCUAAGGUAGCGAAAUUCCUUGUCGGGUAAGUUCCGACCUGCACGAAUGGCGUAAUGAUGGCCAGGCUGUCUCCACCCGAGACUCAGUGAAAUUGAACUCGCUGUGAAGAUGCAGUGUACCCGCGGCAAGACGGAAAGACCCCGUGAACCUUUACUAUAGCUUGACACUGAACAUUGAGCCUUGAUGUGUAGGAUAGGUGGGAGGCUUUGAAGUGUGGACGCCAGUCUGCAUGGAGCCGACCUUGAAAUACCACCCUUUAAUGUUUGAUGUUCUAACGUUGACCCGUAAUCCGGGUUGCGGACAGUGUCUGGUGGGUAGUUUGACUGGGGCGGUCUCCUCCUAAAGAGUAACGGAGGAGCACGAAGGUUGGCUAAUCCUGGUCGGACAUCAGGAGGUUAGUGCAAUGGCAUAAGCCAGCUUGACUGCGAGCGUGACGGCGCGAGCAGGUGCGAAAGCAGGUCAUAGUGAUCCGGUGGUUCUGAAUGGAAGGGCCAUCGCUCAACGGAUAAAAGGUACUCCGGGGAUAACAGGCUGAUACCGCCCAAGAGUUCAUAUCGACGGCGGUGUUUGGCACCUCGAUGUCGGCUCAUCACAUCCUGGGGCUGAAGUAGGUCCCAAGGGUAUGGCUGUUCGCCAUUUAAAGUGGUACGCGAGCUGGGUUUAGAACGUCGUGAGACAGUUCGGUCCCUAUCUGCCGUGGGCGCUGGAGAACUGAGGGGGGCUGCUCCUAGUACGAGAGGACCGGAGUGGACGCAUCACUGGUGUUCGGGUUGUCAUGCCAAUGGCACUGCCCGGUAGCUAAAUGCGGAAGAGAUAAGUGCUGAAAGCAUCUAAGCACGAAACUUGCCCCGAGAUGAGUUCUCCCUGAC
RNAcentral lists this ribosomal RNA (2652 nucleotides) under Escherichia coli. RNAcentral describes it as "bacterial LSU rRNA". It matches the Rfam family "Bacterial large subunit ribosomal RNA". The record is from RNAcentral. Lineage: Bacteria; Pseudomonadati; Pseudomonadota; Gammaproteobacteria; Enterobacterales; Enterobacteriaceae.